Molecule: non-coding RNA, 28 nt
Filed under: Rattus norvegicus (Norway rat)
Lineage: Eukaryota; Metazoa; Chordata; Mammalia; Rodentia; Muridae
Source: RNAcentral
UAUUUGGAGAAGACAUGGCUUUAUGCUC